GACGAACGCUGGCGGCGUGCUUAACACAUGCCAGUCGAACGGAAAGGCCCUGCUUUUGUGGGGUGCUCGAGUGGCGAAAGGGUGAGUAACACGUGAGUAACCUGCCCUUGACUUUGGGAUAACUUCAGGAAACUGGGGCUAAUACCGGAUAGGAGCUCCUGCUGCAUGGUGGGGGUUGGAAAGUUUCGGCGGUUGGGGAUGGACUCGCGGCUUAUCAGCUUGUUGGUGGGGUAGUGGCUUACCAAGGCUUUGACGGGUAGCCGGCCUGAGAGGGUUACCGGCCACAUUGGGACUGAGGUACGGCCCAGACUCCUACGGGAGGCAGCAGUGGGGAAUAUUGCACAAUGGGCGGAAGCCUGAUGCAGCAACGCCGCGUGCGGGAUGACGGCCUUCGGGUUGUAAACCGCUUUCGCCUGUGACGAAGCGUGAGUGACGGUAAUGGGUAAAGAAGCACCGGCUAACUACGUG
RNAcentral lists this ribosomal RNA (468 nucleotides) under uncultured bacterium. RNAcentral's name for it is "partial 16S ribosomal RNA". It matches the Rfam family "Bacterial small subunit ribosomal RNA", at positions 28 to 507 of the family's 1533-position model. The record is from RNAcentral.